Molecule: long non-coding RNA, 4421 nt
Organism: Alexandromys fortis (reed vole)
Lineage: Eukaryota; Metazoa; Chordata; Mammalia; Rodentia; Cricetidae
Exons: 4
Source: RefSeq, a predicted model, not a curated record
GGUCAUGGGGAAGGGUCUUCUGUGUCCUGUGGGGAGGGUGUGGACAGGCAGUCUGCAGUGUAGGGGUCACGGGGAAGGGUCUUCUGUGUCCUGUGGGGAUGGUGUGGACAGGCAGUCUGCAGUGUAGGGUCAUGGGGAAGGGUCUACUGUGUCCUGUGGGGAUGGUGUGGACAGUCUGCAAUGUAGGGGUCAUGGGGAAGGGUCUUCUGUGUCCUGUGGGGAUGGUGUGGACAGUCUGCAGUGUAGGGGUCACGGGAAGGGUCUUCUGUGUCCUGUGGGGAUGGUGUGGACAGUCUGCAGUGUAGGGUCACGGGGAAGGGUCUUCUGUGUCCUGUGGGGAUGGUGUGGACAGUCUGCAGUGUAGGGGUCACGGGAAGGGUCUUCUGUGUCUUCAGGGACAGCUGUUGCUCAUCACCAAUUCACCACUGCAAUGUCAAAUUUUCGUCAGAGCCGCGAUCUCUCAUGGUUGUUUGGAAACUGUAACGCUAUAAAUGGAUUAUUACUUUUUAAAGCAUCAACACUGUUUCUGCCAAGUCAAAAUAUCUACAAAAUAUCCACAGGACGUGAGUUUAAACUUUUGUUUAGGUGUUUGGGUUUAUAAUUUGGUACCCUGGCUUACAGUGCUUCUGUAUGGAUACUGGCAAAUAAAUAAAAAUACAGUAACAUGUGUGAACUAUAGAGAGAAACUUCUCACUGCCUGGAGGUACACAAACUCUGGCCUUCUAAUGCCUAGUCCCUUGUCCCCAAAGAGCUAAAAUGGUCAAGGGCUAAGAACUGUAUCAGACAUCCCUGUAAGGCCACAAUCUUCUCUGUAUAGAAAGCAGGGAGCAGGCUGAGGGUGUGGCUUGCUGGCAGAAUGGGGAACAGCGGUGUGUGGAGUCCCCGGAGGAAGCAGGGCGGGAGCUGGCUGGGCUGGAGGACCUGAUGGGCUGAUGUGUGAGUGUAUAUAUGUCCAAGUAUGCGUAUCACGUGUGUGUAGAACCCUGAGGAGGUCCGUAUGCAGCCCCAGGAACCGGAGUUACAGACAGCUGUGAACCUGUGGUGCUGGAAUGGACCCCAGGGCCUUGGCUACUGCGGGACGCCCCUGAAGAGUCCCCCAGCCUCUCCAACUCUUAGCCAAGUAUUGCAAGUGCUCUUCUUCCUGCCUGCCCGCCCCCCUCCGGCGGAACUGCCAGAAAAGCAGACCAGCAGACAUGCGAAGGGGGAGCACAGACCACCAAAGUCAGCAGGAAUGGCGACCCGCCCAGGCUGACGCAAAACACACUUGUUUCUUGUUUGUUUGUUUUUUUUUUUUCUCCCCCGGCUUUAAGUGGGAGCAACGGUGUUUCUCCUAAGACUUCCAGGCUGGAAGUUUCUCAUGGCUGUUUUUCCUCCUGGGGUCUUGCUAACCUGGGAAAUUCCCAGUUUCCCCUGGGUUCCAUCUGUGGACUGGAACACAGGAUGGAAAGGUCUGAAAAGCUGUUGACUAAAAGGUGAGUGAUGUGGGAGUGUCAUAUAUCAAUCUGUUGAUUUCAUUGGUUAAGCAAUAAAGAAACUGCUUGGCCCUGAUAGGUUAAAACAUAGGUGGGAGGAGUAAACAGAACAGAAUGCUGGGAGGAAGAGGAAGUGAGGUAAGACUCCUCAGACAGACUCCAUAGCUGCUCUCUGAGGCACACGCGAUGAAGCUCCAACCCAGGAUGGAUGUAGACUAGAAUCUUCCCAUUAUUUUCCUGAAGCCGUGAUAAUUUAGAAGAUGUAUUCUGUGUGCCCAGAGGCACCUGUAACCAUACGUGGAAUUAUGUAACUAGAGGGGAGCCUACAGACCUGGUGCAGCCGAGCAGAUGCAUCCUCUCUGGACUUCGAUUCCGGAGCUGUUGACUCAGAGUCCCAGGGAUGACGCAGAGGCCACUGUGGCCAGGCACAGCAGCUAGGGCAGCUGCAUCCGGUUUCCAGUCGAGGAGGAGACAGCUGUUAUGAGGCAGUAUGCAAUGUCCUGCGUCCAAAGACUUGGCAGUGUGAGCCAUGGGGUCAGUCCUUGGCGGCUGGGGUGAUGACCUCCUGGGAGCAGCCCUGUGGAAUGCUUGGGUGUGGCUUUUUUUUUUUUUUUUUUGGCCUGAAUGAUUCUCCUUCCCACCUUUGCUUCUCAAAUUAGCUUAAAAGUUGACUUAAUUCAUUAGCCACAAAAACUAGGGUGUCAACAAGAGCUAGCUCUUAGAUAGUGCCUUCUGUGUGGCAGGUGCUUGUCUGAAUACCUUGUAUAUCUUAACUUGACAUUUUUACCGCAACCCUAGGAAAGAGAGAUGGGCAUUAGCCCCAUUUUAUGGAUGAUGAAACUGAGCUACAGGGAGACUAGGUUACUCAACCACGGCUACCCAGCUGACGCUCAAACCCCAUCACUCUGGCCUAGUUCUUGGGAGCCUCGACUGAGUCACACCUUGUUUUAUAACUUGAUUUCUUUUCAUGUAACACAUUUAAUGAGCGUUUCAUUUUGUUAGAUAUUCAGCUAAGAUGCAUACUGUUCAAAGGGUGACUCACUAUUUAAGCAACUCCCUAUUGUUAAACAUUAAGGACAUCCCAACGGAUAAACUUUUUAUUUUAAUUUUUAGGUGACCAUACAAAGUCACAGAUGGCUUCGUCAAGUCAUUUUAACACACAGUUGUCACUUGCUUUGUUAUCAUUUGAUCCCUGCUAUACCGUGGCUUAACAUGCAUGACUUAUUUCCUUGCAAUAAAGUCCCAGAGGUGGGAUGCUGGGCCAAAGCAAAAUUUAAUUACCUUCUAGAAUGAUAAUCUGUUUUUUUAAUACACAGCAUUAUCUAUGAGUUAUUGACAUUGAACAUCUAAGUGGGUUUUGUGUGUGCAUCUCAUGAAAAAAAAUGACAGAUCUUUCCCUUUUAAAUUUGGAAUUCUUUAAACAUUUAAAAACACAAUUUUAGGGACUGGAGAGAUAGUUUAACAAGUUAAGUAUGUGACAGAGAUGGGAGUCUGAUCCCCGGAACCAACGUCAGAAGCCUGUGUUGCUGGCCUGUGCUUAUAAUCCCAGCACAGGGGAGAGAGAAGACGGGGCUCCCUGGGAGCUUGCUGGUUAGCUCAUCUCAGUGACAGACUCUGCUUCAGAAUCCUGAGUGGAUGGCUUCUGAAGAAUGCUACAGACCUGCACACGUGCAAGCAUGCACACUUGGUCAUACAUGUGCGUUCUCCACAUGAACACAUGCACACACAAAAAUUUUGCCCAUUUAUUCGGUCACUUUGCAAAUGGUUUUCAUAAUCAUCUAUAAUGCUGAGACUACAUCAAGACUCUUUUUGCCUCUUUUGUUUCUCAAGACAGGGUUUCUCUGUAUAGCCCUGGUACUUGCUUUGUAGACCGGGCUGCCUUCAGAUUUACAGAGGUCCACCUGCCUCUCCAUCCUGAGUGCUGGGGAUUACAGGUGUGUGGUUCCACGCCUGAUCUAGAUAACUCCUUAGUUGAGACUGCCACGUGAGUUCAGGUUGUGUCAAGCUAGAACUCACCAGCACACGCACUUUUUGGAAAAGUGUCAGAAUAGAGGAAACAAGAAAAUAGUUUCAGCUUAGAAUUGUGUGUCUAAUCCCUUGUAAAUUGUAUGAGUAACGUCUCAGAUCUGGCUCAUCUUUUUCAUCGACAUGUGCGGUCCUCACCAUUCCUAGGUUGACUUCAGAUAGACACUGAUACAUGGAGCAUUAUGAACAAUCCUUGAGAAUACGGAAGUGUGGGGCUGAAAGAAAGCCCAGCCAAUUAAAGGCACGCACUGCUCUUGCCGAGGACUGUCAUUUAGUUCCUAGGACACAUGGCAAGUAGCAUAGAACAGCUUGUAACUCCAGCUCCAGGGGUGGUGUAAGAGGUUCUUCUGUUUGUGUGUUGCUUUCAUUGGUUGAAUGAAGAGACUGCCUUGGCCUUUUGAUAGGGCAGCCCCUUAAGUGGGCGGAGCAGACAGAACAGAAUGCUGGGAAGAAGGGAAGUGUGGCAGAGGCCAUGAUUCUCCUGCCCGAGAUGGACGCUGGUUAGAUUCAGGCCGGUAAGCCACAGUCAGGUGGCAAUACACGUUAAUGGAAAUGGGUUAAUCAAGAUGUGAGAGUUAGCCAAUGAGAGGCUAGAGGUAAUGGGCUAGGCAGUAAUUUAAUUAAUACAAUUUCUGUGUGGUUAUUUUGGGUAUAAGCUAGCCGGGCGGGAUGGAACAAAGGGCCCGUGCUCCUCCUCACAACACAAGGGAUCUGAUGCAUUUGGCCUCUGAGGAUACCUGAAUUUAUAUGUAUGUAUGUAUAUGUAUAUAUGUAUAUCCACAUAUAGACACCCAUCCAAAUAUGUAAUUGAAAAUAAUCUUUAAAACUGUUGGCAAGUAGAAGGAAUUUGUCACUAAGAAUCAUAUAUAUAAUUCCAUUGUGUGAAAUGCACUGAUUCUAUAGACAGAAAAUAAAGGAACGAUU